GCAGGCAGGGUGCAGAGUGGUCCAUAAAGCCAGAGUCAAAAGCAGCAGGUUAUAGCUUUGGACCUAAAAGCCUGUGCAGAGCUGUGUCUGCAGAGUAACUUGCUCAGCUGAGGCUGCCUCAGGUUUAUGAAAUAUGAGUCCUUCACUCUUGCUGGUCAUCCUUUGCUUGGGAGUAGCUGCAGCUGCCCCCACAGUUCCAACCGGCUUAGAUGCCCAACAGCAGGAGACUGCAAACUACAAAAACCUUCAUGAUCUGGUUGGUAAUGCAGAAGGGUCAGUGAGCGAACUGUCAGAGGAGCAUAAGAAAAUGAUUAUGCAGCGCAUCCAGAAAUAUAUGGAAGAGAAUGGAAGCAACAACGUGGAAAUGCUUUCCAUCAUUGGCUCGCUCUUUGGAGGACUCAUACAUGGUGGUGAGGAUAUUAUAAAAGGUCUUCUCAAAGGCUUGUUUCCAGGGAAAAACAAUUUAAAUCUUCGUUCCGAAUUUGUGCCUUCCUGAGAGAAAGACCAUGUGACUCCUGUGUGGAGCCAGGAAAUCCCACCUCAGCCCACCACAUAUUACAGUGGACCAAAUCCUGAAACUCAGAAAAUAUGAAGAGAAAAACUGGCAAAAUUCAAAUAAUUGGUUUUCUUAUUAGUAAUAGAAUAAUGCCAGUUUCUUUGUUUAGAGAAAGGUACCAAAGUAAUCUGUUAAUGAUGGGAACUUGAGAAUUCACUGCCCUGAGUUUGCAACAUUCUGCAUUUUAAAAUUCUUUUGAAUAAAGGUUGAUUU
Tupaia belangeri chinensis (Chinese tree shrew) is the source of this 769-nucleotide long non-coding RNA. RefSeq lists it as uncharacterized. The record is from RefSeq and is a predicted model, not a curated record. NCBI's taxonomy places the organism in Eukaryota, Metazoa, Chordata, Mammalia, Scandentia, Tupaiidae. The transcript is spliced from 5 exons.